UAAACGAAUGGAGGAAGUGGCUUCUAGCGACGGACACACACAGUGCCAUUUGAUAUUGCGAAUGCUGGAGUCUGGUUAUUGAGUAGACAGAUGCUUGCUGGAGCUUCCAGUGAAACUUUAUUUACAAAAUCAUGCGCCAGUCCUUGGGCCCUCUUUUGCAGCAUCUGGUAACCACUGUCCUACUCAAUACUUCUGUGAGAUCAACUUCUUUGGAUUCCACGUAUGAUCACGAUCAUGAGUGCUCACCUCGCUCCAGGCUGAUUUCAGCUCCCACCAUUCAGCCACAUCCACUGCUGCUAAGGUCACCAUAACAUCUCUGGUGCUGAAUCCGAUGGAGAUUUUUUGGUCAUCAUGUUGUACAUCUCCUCUUGGCAGUUUCCAGUAUUGUGAUUCCCUGUCUCCUUGAGACCGUCUCAUCUCUUGGCUUGGAUAACUCUCAGUUUUCAUCCUACCUCUUUAGUCUUCUUCCUUAACUCUUCUGCUUGGCUAAUAUUCUUCUAUGAAACCUUUACAUAUUGCAGUGACUCAUGCUUCAUCCUGAUCUCCCUUCGCUUCUAAAUCUACCCCUUUUCCCUAAAUAAGCUUAUCUCCACCCAUGACCAUUUACCAUGUACACCCUGAGGAUCCAAGUGUGUAACUCUAGAUGACAUCAGGACCCUAUAUCCAUCAUGUAUCCCUUGAUUUUGCUCCUUUUUUUUUUUAACUGAUAGAGUUGAUAAUUUUAUUUUCACAUUUGACAAUACAAAUGAAAACUGCACUUUUUCUGGUCCCACUUCUCCCCUCCAAUACUAUUCUCUUUUUGAUAGGAAGGAGGAGCAAGUCUUCUUUGUCAUGCUGUUAAGAAAACAGCCAGAGUCAUAGCAUCAUGAUCUCCCAGUGAAGCAGAACAAGUAAUAUAAAACUGAUCUAAAGAGGUCUUGCCUCUAUUCUUAUCUGUCUGAUCAAGUCAUUUGGGGCCAAGUGGGCACCAUUG
Long non-coding RNA from Piliocolobus tephrosceles (Ugandan red Colobus), 973 nucleotides. RefSeq lists it as uncharacterized. NCBI's taxonomy places the organism in Eukaryota, Metazoa, Chordata, Mammalia, Primates, Cercopithecidae. The transcript is spliced from 3 exons. The record is from RefSeq and is a predicted model, not a curated record.